GAUGAAGAACGUAGCGAAAUGCGAUAAGUAAUGUGAAUUGCAGAAUUCAGUGAAUCAUCGAAUCUUUGAACGCACCUUGCACCCUUUGGCAUUCCGAAGGGUAUGCUCGUUUGAGUGUCAUUGUACUCUCACACUUCUGAUCCUUUGGAUUGGGAGCGGUGGACUUGGGUGUUGCUGCUUUACUGUGGCUCACCUCAAAUGCAUUCGUGCAACUCUUGGUUGGACAUAGUACGGCGUGAUAAGUAUCUUCGCCGGCACCUCGCAAGAGGGUGGCUGAUCAGGAGCUCUGUGCUUUCCAACUGUCUUCAGACAACAACUGACAACUUGACCUCAAAUCGAGUAGGACCACCCGCUGAACUUAAGCAUAUAAUAAGCGGAGGA
RNAcentral lists this unclassified non-coding RNA (381 nucleotides) under soil metagenome. Its description in RNAcentral is "partial contains 5.8S ribosomal RNA, internal transcribed spacer 2, and large subunit ribosomal RNA". The stretch from base 1 to 120 matches the Rfam family "5.8S ribosomal RNA", at positions 35 to 154 of the family's 154-position model. The record is from RNAcentral.